UGGACCAAUCAGCAGGACGUGGGCAGGGAACAAAUAAGGGAAUAAAAGCUGGCCACCCCCGACAGCCAGCAGCAAUCACUCGGGUCUUCUUCUGCACUGUGGAAGCGUUGUUCCUUGGCUCUUCACGAAAAAUCUUGCUGGUGCUCACUCUUUGGGUCCACACUACCUUUAUGAGCUGUAAUACGUUACCUGUAUGAGCUGUAAUGCUCACCGCGAGGGUCUGAGGCUUCAUUCCUGAAGUCAGCAACACCACGAACUCACCAGGAGGAACAAACAACUCUGGACAUGCCACUUUGAAGAGCGAUAACACUCCCUGUGAAGGUCUGCAGCUUCACACCUGAAGUCAGCAACACCACAAACCCACCGGGAGGAACAAACAACUCUGGACGUGCCACCUUUAAGAGCUGUAACAGUUACUGCAAAGGUCUGCCACUUCACUCCUGAAGGCAGCAAAAUCACGAACCCACCUGAAGGAAGAAACUCCAGGCACAUCUGAAGGAACAGACUCCGGACACACCAUCUUUAAGAACUGUUAACACUCACCGCGAGGAUCCACGGCUUCAUUCUUGAAGUCAGCGAGACCAAGAACCCACCGGAAGGAACCAAUUCCGGACACACUAGGACUUUCAGUACUAUGUUGAAUAGAAGUGAGAGUGGGCAUCGUUGUCUUGUUCCAGUUAGUUUUUUUAAGUAACUACAGUUGAGCCUGGAACAACAUGGCUUUGAAUUGCAUGGGUCCAACUAUAUGUGGAUUUUUUUAAAUAAAAGUUACACCAAGUAUGCCUGCCUCUCCUGGUUCCACUUCCAUCUCCUCCGUGUCUUCUGCCUCUGCUACCCCUGAGACAGCAAGACCAACCCCUCUUCUUCCUCCUCCUCCUCAGCCUACUCAAUGUGAAGACACUAAGAAUGAAGGCCUUUAUGAUGAUCAACUUCCAAAUAGUUGUUUUCCUUGUGACUCAAAUGAGGAAGAAUAAACUUGGUUUAGGACUAUUCAAUGCCAGUGUUUUCAGAUGGCUCCACCAGCAGAGAACAGAGAAGGGGAGAAGAGGAAAAGCAGCUGGACGUCGGGGACUGCGGUUUGACGUCGGAGAGAAGCAGCUUGACUUCAGAGGGACAGCUUGACCGCUUUGCUUUGGAGAGGAGUCUGGCUGGGGAUGGCUGGACUCCAGGGGAAGAUCGUCUUCCUGUUCCAUCCCUUUUCCAGCUCCCCUCCCACUGAGAGCCACUUUCAUUGGCAAUAAAAUCCUCCAUAUUCACCACCCUUCAAUUCGUUCAUGCGACCUGAUUUUUCCUGGAUGCCAAACAAGAGCCCAGGUGCCACAGGUGUGGAUACUAAAGGCUGUCACACUGACCCUUUGCCCUUGCUGGCAGAGAGCAACCACUUCAUGCAAAAAGGCAGAGGGCCCACUGAGGUAUUUAACACUUAAGCUGUCCGUGGACAGCCAAGCUAAAAGAACACUGUAACACACUCCCUCUGGGGCUUCUGGGGUCCCUGGUAUUCCUGACGAGACACUGUCAUGGGGCCUGCAGGGAGUUUUGCUCCUGCCAACACCCAAAAGCACUCUUUCUGGCUCCUGCACCCGCUCACCUGCGUGCUUCCCCUUCCCUCAAGGGCUUGAGAGCUGCAGGCUGAGUAAGUAGGCACCCUUGUCACGAGGUCCAAAAAGGGAUCAAGGAAAAUUUCCUGUUUCAGUGCUUUGGCAAAAACUUGAGUCAAUGAUACAGAAAAGUUAUGAGAGUUGAAAUCCUUGUCUAGUUCCCACUCAUAAUUCACUGAUUUUUAUUUCUGUAGUUUAUAAUCUGAGGUUAAUUCUAUCCAAUAAUAUUUUCAUUGUAGUAAUUGGGUAAUUUUUAUAUUUAGAUAUUGCUUUUGGUUUCUUUUUUGUAACGUCCAGUUCUCCA
RNAcentral lists this long non-coding RNA (1902 nucleotides) under Homo sapiens (human). RNAcentral describes it as "HSALNT0299321". The record is from RNAcentral. Lineage: Eukaryota; Metazoa; Chordata; Mammalia; Primates; Hominidae.